GGUCAUGCGAGAGGCACUUGUUGUAUGUGCAACUACAUACGGAAUUGAUGACCUUCGAGAGGAGCAAAAGGCAUCUCCCUUGGCUAACAUAAGCCAACAAGAUCAUGUGAAUCUCCCUUUCUCUGAGACAAGAAUCAUGUUUCUAGACUUAUUCGACCUCUCCUGUCUCUCACUUUUUGAGAACGGCGAUCUAGCAUUAAUCAGGAUCCAAGAACCAACCGCCCUUGAGUCUUGCCGCACGGCGCAGGUGUCCAAGAUCGGGUUCGGAUGCAUGGGCCUCUCCGGCAUCUACAGCUCCCCGGUGCCGGACGAGGACGUCGUCGCCAUCAUCAAGACCGCCUUCGACGCCGGCGUCACCUUCUUCGACACCGGCGACGCGUAUUGGCCGCACAACAAUGAGGAUAUGCUCGGGAAGGUUAAUCAUCUGUUUUCCCCAUUGAUCCCAGAUGAAGUACUGCUCUUUGUGUUUCAUCUGGUUUGAGGUACAGGAAUUUGACGGGAAGGUUCAGAAAUCAGGAUGCAGAAGUAAAGGGUCAAUUUAGCUGUUAAACAGAUGGGAUUUGAUAGGGAGAAGUCCAUUUCUGUUCCAAAAAUUGCUACUUUAGGUCGUGGAGGACCAGAGGGUACCAAAAACUGUGAACUGAUGGGAGAUUCCACAAACUGAAUGAUAUUAGAGCCUUAGAGGUGGCCUUGGGAGCACUGGGUCUAGGCUCCAGCACUUUUUGGGGAACAUGUGUGAUAUGAUUAGAUCAUUUAGAUGUAAAAUGCGAAGAAACCUUAGAUGUCUCUUUCCUCUCUUUUUUUUUCUUUUUUACAUGACCGCUGAAGAUGGGAUAGUUCUAUCGAAGAUCAUUUUCUUUCUCUCUGAAGAUGGCCUUUGUUAGUUCAUAACUAGAUGCAACUUCAUCGCUGUUAAAAAAUUUCAGAACAUAAAUAGGCAAGUAGAUGUUCGAAUAAAUUGCACUCAUGAUUGUAAGACAUGGGUGCUGACAGCCUUACAUGAAACUAUCCAAUUCGAUAUUUCUUAGAUCUUGGAGACCCACGUCCCCAGUUAUCAUUACCGAAAACCAUGAACUAUCCCAUAUUCCCAUUUGCUAUAAUUGAAGAAUACAAAUACUUUCAGAACUUGAUGGACAGGCACUGAAGCCGUGGCCUAGCGAGAAGGUGCAAGUGGUCACCAAAUGUAGCAUCGCAGGAUUCAUGCUGAAUGAAAUCUGCAUAAAGCCAGUCUCGUGAGCUCAGAUGGCGAAUAUAUUGAGCUCUAUUACCAGCAUCGCAUCGACCAGUCAGUGCCCAUAGAGGAAACCGUGCAUUGUAGUUCUGAGUCUAGAAGUUGGUGUCAGCAAAAGGUUUCCAAUGUCUCACACAGCUGCUUUCUUAAUGCACAAGGUUAGAUGAGUGAGCUCAAGAAGCUGGUGGAAGAGGGGAAAGUGAAAUAUAUUGGCCUGCCUGAAGCAACUAUCGAUACCAUUAAGGCGCCCUCAUACGGUUCAUCCUAUCACUGCACUGCAAGUGUUGUCUGCUGGAGAUGACUUGUUGGAAAAACUUCUCCUGUUCAAUUGAAACUUAUACCAUAUGGGAGCUUGGCAUCCGAGUUGUUUCAUACAGUCCAUUAGGUCGUGGUUCCUUUUCUGGAAAAGCAGUUAUGGAGAGCCUACCACCAAACAGUUUGCUGUCUGUGGAUCCUAGAUACACUGGAGAAAACUUGGAGAAGGACAAAGAUCUAUAUGGGCGUCUCCUGAAUUUGUCCAAAAAACACAGUUGUAGCCCCUCUCUCAGCUUGGGAGACGAUGUUGGGUUCUUCAUCAAGGAGACGAUGUUGUUCCAAUCCCUAGUAACCACUUCUCGAAUGUUGAGUGUUCUUACAGGAGAUUCACUAUGCUGUAGCCAAACAUUUUCUCAGGAAUGCCUGUCUCAUUUUUUGCAAAGACUGGUAUCGGUUAAUUGCGUACUAGAUUACUGAUCAAAUGCUUAAUGCUGACCAAUU
Molecule: RNA transcript, 1987 nt
Organism: Phragmites australis (common reed)
Lineage: Eukaryota; Viridiplantae; Streptophyta; Magnoliopsida; Poales; Poaceae
Gene name: perakine reductase-like
Exons: 3
Source: RefSeq, a predicted model, not a curated record